This is a long non-coding RNA of Triticum aestivum (bread wheat), 750 nucleotides long. RefSeq lists it as uncharacterized. The transcript has 3 exons. NCBI's taxonomy places the organism in Eukaryota, Viridiplantae, Streptophyta, Magnoliopsida, Poales, Poaceae. The record is from RefSeq and is a predicted model, not a curated record.
CAGAUGCGUAGGCCGUCGUGUCGGAGACGGGGCUCACAGCCGGCGCCGUGAAGGUGAGAAAGCAGAGCCGUGGCUCGGGAUGGUUCUGUGUCCCUGAUCGGUGGCUCAGGAACCCUGCUUUCCGGCAGGCAGCGGUAUAGGCGGAAGUAAAUAACAAGGCGGAGCUGCCUCCCACCUCUGGAUAAGGACUGUUGAAUCGCCAUUGUCGCCUGUGCAGAUCUGCGGUGGAGCGAAACCAGGCGGCGCUUUGUCGGGAUGGUGUUCUUGCAGCAAACCGAUUAGGAGCACUGCGGUGAUGGAAGAAGUGAACGACAGCCAGCUUCCGAUGGAGCCGCUUCACUACCCGGCGAUGGCGACUGAAGCUGAGCAGCUCCCGCCCAUGGCGACUGGUAGCGUUCAGGGGCAGAUCUGUGCGGCCGAGGGGGGAGCCAUAGGCGACGGGGAAGCCGAGCCGCAGGCAUCUGAACAAUCAAUUGGACAGAUUGAUCCUGAGACUCCAGGCUGGACUCGCAGGGUUAGAAUUGGAGCAGCUGCACCCGGAAGGGCACCUUGCCGUGGGCGAAUCAGCGCCCUUGAGAAGGCGAUACGGGGGUUUGCUGAUCAACCAGGGGACAUGGUAAUUGUCCCAGCACUUGGUACAAGCUUCGAUACACUCGAGGAGGCAUAUGACUUUUACAAUCUCUACUCGCGGGAGAAGGGUUUUGGAAUGUGGGGAGUACAAAGUGCAAGCAAGAAAUUGUUUGUGGCUGU